Non-coding RNA from Mycena metata, 94 nucleotides. Lineage: Eukaryota; Fungi; Basidiomycota; Agaricomycetes; Agaricales; Mycenaceae. The record is from the annotation of a GenBank genome assembly.
GACCUGGUGGUGAAUGGUUCACAUCCACCUUGUUUGGGAAGCUGCUAAAAGGAUUUGUUAGUGGGAGUCCCCGGUUCGAUUCCGGGUCAGGUCA